This 420-nucleotide ribosomal RNA is filed under the name uncultured cyanobacterium. Its description in RNAcentral is "bacterial SSU rRNA". It matches the Rfam family "Bacterial small subunit ribosomal RNA", at positions 53 to 517 of the family's 1533-position model. Lineage: Bacteria; Bacillati; Cyanobacteriota. The record is from RNAcentral.
ACAUGCAAGUCGAACGGUCUUUUCGGAGAUAGUGGCGGACGGGUGAGUAACGCGUAAGAAUCUACCUUCAGGUUGGGGACAACCACUGGAAACGGUGGCUAAUACCCAAUGUGCCGAGAGGUGAAAGGCUUGCUGCCUGAAGAAGAGCUUGCGUCUGAUUAGCUAGUUGGUGGGGUAAGAGCCUACCAAGGCGACGAUCAGUAGCUGGUCUGAGAGGAUGAUCAGCCACACUGGGACUGAGACACGGCCCAGACUCCUACGGGAGGCAGCAGUGGGGAAUUUUCCGCAAUGGGCGAAAGCUUGACGGAGCAAUACCGCGUGAGGGAGGAAGGCUCUUGGGUUGUAAACCCUUUUUCUCAGGGAAGAAAAAAUUGACGUUACCUGAGGAAUAAGCAUCGGCUAACUCCGUGCCAGCGGCCG